AGAGGUCACAAGUUUGUGGGCCAUAGUAGAAGCAUUCGAAGUGCAGCCAUGUCAGGUUCCAAUAAAUCUGUGAAUCCUGCU
Molecule: ribozyme, 81 nt
Filed under: Crocodylus porosus (Australian saltwater crocodile)
Lineage: Eukaryota; Metazoa; Chordata; Crocodylia; Crocodylidae
Description: Mammalian CPEB3 ribozyme (ENSCPRG00005011958.1)
Rfam family: Mammalian CPEB3 ribozyme
About the family: The mammalian CPEB3 ribozyme is a self cleaving RNA located in the second intron of the CPEB3 gene which belongs to a family of genes regulating messenger RNA polyadenylation. This ribozyme is highly conserved and found only in mammals. There is currently only one other known self cleaving ribozyme in mammals, the CoTC motif.
Source: Rfam by way of RNAcentral